GAUAAGCGCUGAAAGCAUCUAAGUGCGAAGCCUUCCGCAAGAUUAGAACUCCUCAUAAGGGUCGUCAUAGACUAUGACGUUGAUAGGGUGUAGGUGUAAAGACAGCGAUGUCAAAGCCGAGCACUACUAAUUGCCCAAAACUUUCAUU
RNAcentral lists this ribosomal RNA (148 nucleotides) under Prevotella pallens. RNAcentral's name for it is "partial 23S ribosomal RNA". It matches the Rfam family "Bacterial large subunit ribosomal RNA", at positions 2763 to 2925 of the family's 2925-position model. Lineage: Bacteria; Pseudomonadati; Bacteroidota; Bacteroidia; Bacteroidales; Prevotellaceae. The record is from RNAcentral.